GAGUUUGAUCAUGGCUCAGAUUGAACGCUGGCGGCAGGCCUAACACAUGCAAGUCGAGCGGAUGACGGGAGCUUGCUCCUUGAUUCAGCGGCGGACGGGUGAGUAAUGCCUAGGAAUCUGCCUGGUAGUGGGGGACAACGUUUCGAAAGGAACGCUAAUACCGCAUACGUCCUACGGGAGAAAGCAGGGGACCUUCGGGCCUUGCGCUAUCAGAUGAGCCUAGGUCGGAUUAGCUAGUUGGUGGGGUAAUGGCUCACCAAGGCGACGAUCCGUAACUGGUCUGAGAGGAUGAUCAGUCACACUGGAACUGAGACACGGUCCAGACUCCUACGGGAGGCAGCAGUGGGGAAUAUUGGACAAUGGGCGAAAGCCUGAUCCAGCCAUGCCGCGUGUGUGAAGAAGGUCUUCGGAUUGUAAAGCACUUUAAGUUGGGAGGAAGGGCAGUAAGUUAAUACCUUGCUGUUUUGACGUUACCGACAGAAUAAGCACCGGCUAACU
This 498-nucleotide ribosomal RNA is filed under the name bacterium enrichment culture clone ALO1_GLFRUDD03HDVKN. Its description in RNAcentral is "bacterial SSU rRNA". It matches the Rfam family "Bacterial small subunit ribosomal RNA", at positions 9 to 502 of the family's 1533-position model. The record is from RNAcentral.